GGUCAAGUAGCUCAGUUGGUUAGAGCACUGUCCCCGGAAAGUGGCAGGGGCCUGGGUUCAAUUCCCAGCUUGGUCA
Molecule: transfer RNA, 76 nt
Rfam family: tRNA
About the family: Transfer RNA (tRNA) molecules are approximately 80 nucleotides in length. Their secondary structure includes four short double-helical elements and three loops (D, anti-codon, and T loops).
Source: Rfam